UACAGAGGGUGCAAACGUUGUUCGGAUUUACUGGGCGUAAAGCGCGUGUAGGCGGCUUGGCAAGUCGGGUGUGAAAGCCCUGGGCUCAACCUAGGAAGUGCACUCGAAACUGCUUCGCUGGAGUCUCGGAGAGGAAAGCGGAAUUCUCGGUGUAGAGGUGAAAUUCGUAGAUAUCGAGAGGAACAUCGGUGGCGAAGGCGGCUUUCUGGACGACGACUGACGCUGAGACGCGAAAGCGUGGGGAGCAAACAGG
RNAcentral lists this ribosomal RNA (253 nucleotides) under uncultured bacterium. RNAcentral describes it as "partial 16S ribosomal RNA". It matches the Rfam family "Bacterial small subunit ribosomal RNA", at positions 524 to 776 of the family's 1533-position model. The record is from RNAcentral.